GCGCGAAAACUUUACAAUGCUGGCAACAGCGAUAAGGGAACCUCGAGUGCCAGGUUACAAAUCUGGCUGUCGAGAUGCCUAAAAAGCAUUUCAUAGCAAGGGCCGGGCAAGACCGGUGCCAGCCGCCGCGGUAACACCGGCGGCUCGAGUGGUAACCGUUAUUAUUGGGUCUAAAGGGUCUGUAGCCGGCCGGAUAAGUCUCUUGGGAAAUCUGGCAGCUCAACUGUCAGGCUUUAAGGAGAUACUGUCUGGAUCGAGGCCGGGAGAGGUGAGAGGUACUUCAGGGGUAGGGGUGAAAUCUUGUAAUCCUUGAAGGACCACCAGUGGCGAAGGCGUCUCACCAGAACGGACCUGACGGAAAGGGACGAAAGCUAGGGGCACGAACC
Molecule: ribosomal RNA, 386 nt
Filed under: uncultured bacterium
Lineage: Bacteria
Description: bacterial SSU rRNA
Rfam family: Archaeal small subunit ribosomal RNA
Source: RNAcentral